GACGAACGCUGGCGGCGUGCUUAACACAUGCAAGUCGAACGAAGUGGCGAACGGGUGAGUAAUACGUGGGUAGCCUGCCCUACUUUUUGGGAUAAGCCUUGGGAACGGGGUCUAAUACCGAAUAAAGGGGGAUGGGAUCGCGGCCUAUCAGCUUGUUGGUGGGGUGAUGGCCUACCAAGGCGGGGACGGGUAGCCGGCCUGAGAGGGGGACCGGCGACAGUGGGACGGAGAUAACGCCCAGGCUAGUACGAGAGGCAGAAUUGGGGAAAAUGGCACAAUGGGCGAAAGCGUGAUGCAGCGAGUCCGCGUGGGGGAUGCAGGCUGUCGAGUUGUAAACGUCUUUAGCAAGCGAACGGGUAGGCGGAGAAGAAGCGCCGGCUAACUACGUGCCAGCAGCCGCGGUAAUUC
This 408-nucleotide ribosomal RNA is filed under the name uncultured bacterium. Its description in RNAcentral is "partial 16S ribosomal RNA". It matches the Rfam family "Bacterial small subunit ribosomal RNA", at positions 28 to 526 of the family's 1533-position model. The record is from RNAcentral.